UGGUUCACCAAUUUUUAUAAUAGAAGUAUAAUUAGUUGAGAGUAGUGAUAACGAAAUAUAAAAAUUACUAUAGAGUAUAAGUACUGUAGAGGAAAUAUUGAAAUAUAUGAAAAUCUUUCAUAAAAAAAGUUCUUGUGAGACAAGGUACCUUUUGUAUUAGUGAUUAUCAAAAUACAAAUGUAAUAUGAAAUUCUCGAAAAUAAAAGAUCUAAGAAAAUUAUCUAGUUUUUGUUUCAAAAAAAUUUGAGAAAUUUUCUUAGGUGUAAAAUUCUAACCGCUUUUAUUAAUAUCUAGUAAUCUCAGAAAUAAAUUUAGUUUAGAGUGACAAGGAAAAACUUUAUUUAUAAGUAAUCUUUAGUUAUUUUUAGAUUCUGGGGGAUGAGCUCUAGAAUUAUUAUAGAAAAGUAAAAAUUUUUCGUUUUAUAUUUAGGCUUAGAAUUAGCCACAAGAUUUUGUUAUAAAAUAUAAUUUAGAGAUUAAGAUUUUUUUCUUUUUUAGGUAUAUGAGAUUAAUAAAAAAAUAAAAAAUAUUUUGAAAAAAUGAUAGUAUAAGUAGAUUUAUAAGUAAAGAAAACAAUAUAAAUUUUUCUUUUAAAGUUUUUAAAAAUUAAUUUAACAAAAGAACUCGGCAAACAAAAUUUCCGAAUGUUUAUCAAAAACAUUUCCUCUUAGUUAAAGAGGUAAGGCCUGCUCACUGAAAUAUUUUAAAGAGCCGCAGUAUUCUAACUGUGCUAAGGUAGCAUAAUCAUUAGUCUUUUAAUUGAAGACUGGUAUGAAUGGCUAAACGAGAAAUUAACUUUUUUUGUUAAAAAAAUUGAAUUUAAUUUUUUAGUGAAAAAGCUAAAAUUUUUCAGAAAGACGAGAAGACCCUAUAGAGUUUUAUAAUUUUUUGUUUUAAGUUUUAUUUGAUUUUUAUAAAUUAAGUGCAAAAAAAUUAUUUUGUUGGGGCGACAUUUAGAUAAAAAAAACUCUUUAUUUUUUAAAUUUUUAUGAAAAAAGUAUUGAUCCUUUAAAAAAGAUCAAAAGAAAAAAUUACCUUAGGGAUAACAGCGUAAUCUUUUUUGAGAGUUCUAAUCGACAAAAAGGUUUGCGACCUCGAUGUUGGACUAAAAUUUAGGCAGGG
This 1122-nucleotide ribosomal RNA is filed under the name Wanella milleporae. RNAcentral's name for it is "partial large subunit ribosomal RNA". The stretch from base 636 to 793 matches the Rfam family "Bacterial large subunit ribosomal RNA", at positions 1791 to 2013 of the family's 2925-position model. Lineage: Eukaryota; Metazoa; Arthropoda; Thecostraca; Balanomorpha; Balanidae. The record is from RNAcentral.